UGGGGAAUUUUGCACAAUGGGGGAAACCCUGAUGCAGCGACGCCGCGUGAUUUAGAAGGCCUUCGGGUUGUAAAAAUCUUUUGUAUGGGAAGAAAAUGACAGUACCAUACGAAUAAGGACCGGCUAAUUACGUGCCAGCAGCCGCGGUAAUACGUAAGGUCCGAGCGUUGUCCGGAAUCAUUGGGCGUAAAGGGUACGUAGGCGGAUAAGCAAGUUAGAAGUGAAAUCCUAUAGCUCAACUAUAGUAAGCUUUUAAAACUGCUCAUCUUGAGGUAUGGAAGGGAAAGUGGAAUUCCUAGGGUAGCGGUGAAAUGCGCAGAUAUUAGGAGGAAUACCGGUGGCGAAGGCGACUUUCUGGCCAUAUACUGCCGCUGAGGUACGAAAGCGGGGGUAGCAAACAGG
RNAcentral lists this ribosomal RNA (402 nucleotides) under Verrucomicrobiota bacterium. RNAcentral describes it as "Verrucomicrobia bacterium partial 16S ribosomal RNA". It matches the Rfam family "Bacterial small subunit ribosomal RNA", at positions 355 to 776 of the family's 1533-position model. Lineage: Bacteria; Pseudomonadati; Verrucomicrobiota. The record is from RNAcentral.